This 373-nucleotide ribosomal RNA is filed under the name uncultured bacterium. RNAcentral's name for it is "bacterial SSU rRNA". It matches the Rfam family "Bacterial small subunit ribosomal RNA", at positions 525 to 896 of the family's 1533-position model. The record is from RNAcentral.
ACGGGGGGUGCAAGCGUUACUCGGAAUCAUUGGGCGUAAAGGGCGCGUAGGCGGCCUGGUAAGUCAGGUGUGAAAGCCCGGGGCUCAACCCCGGAAGUGCAUUUGAUACUGUCAGGCUUGAGUAUGGGAGAGGGAAGUGGAAUUCCUGGUGUAGAGGUGAAAUUCGUAGAUAUCAGGAGGAACACCGGUGGCGAAGGCGACUUCCUGGACCAAUACUGACGCUGAGGCGCGAAGGCGUGGGGAGCAAACAGGAUUAGAUACCCUGGUAGUCCACGCAGUAAACUUUGUUCACUAGGUGUAGCGGGUAUUGACCCCUGCUGUGCCGAAGCUAACGCAUUAAGUGAACCGCCUGGGAAGUACGGCCGCAAGGUUA